AAUUAAAAGUCCAAUAAACAUGUCCAAUUUACAACAGGCCCAAAUAGCCACUAAACCCAAACACACUAGGCCCAUUAAAAUUUGAACCCAAUUUGCCUAGACCCUAGCCCAAUCACGAAAUAGCCCAAUCCAAAUUUCCUAAUACCUAACCUAGUCAGCCCAAUACACCACCUAAUUACAUACCAGAAAUUAAAUAACCAAACCCAAAAUGCAUUACCCAAGCCCAAACCCGAAUGCAUCAAGCCCAAACGGCCCAGGUUUUCUACAGUUUCAGAAGCCCUAAAGGUUUCUAGAACUUUCAGCGCCGUAGCCACGCCUCCGAGCCGAGCCAUGCCACACACCUCCGUACACACCAACUGGCCCUCCUGCACACCGUACCUGCAAAGGACAAACAAAUGAACAAAGUAGAAGAGGCAGAGGAAAAGGGGUAGAAAUCGACAGUUAAUCAAGAGGCAGGGGAUCCGGCUAUAUAAAGCCGUUUUUGAAUAUGUAAAAGGGGGUUCUUUUUCCUCUACGCACAAUAUCAAUACAAAAAAGGAUCAAAAUUUUUUUUGAGUUUUUUUUAAAGUGAUUUACCAUUUUCGGUUACUUUUUUUCAUUUUUCUUCUUUCUGCGUUUCUCUAUUAUUUUUCUUUGCUGCUUUCUAUUUUCUAUACAAAAAAAGAGGAAAGAAAAGGGGUUACCUUCGUGUUUCGCCGCAAAAUCCUUGUUUGCUUCGCCGAGAU
RNAcentral lists this long non-coding RNA (725 nucleotides) under Gossypium raimondii (Peruvian cotton). RNAcentral's name for it is "long non-coding RNA (GRAI_LNC003859)". The record is from RNAcentral. Lineage: Eukaryota; Viridiplantae; Streptophyta; Magnoliopsida; Malvales; Malvaceae.